GGGGACGUAGCUCAGCUGGGAGAGCGCGGGCUUUGCAAGCCUGAGGCCGUGGGUUCGAACCCCAUCGUCUCCACCC
RNAcentral lists this transfer RNA (76 nucleotides) under Olsenella sp. An188. RNAcentral's name for it is "tRNA-Ala". It matches the Rfam family "tRNA". From Rfam's summary of the family: Transfer RNA (tRNA) molecules are approximately 80 nucleotides in length. Their secondary structure includes four short double-helical elements and three loops (D, anti-codon, and T loops). Lineage: Bacteria; Bacillati; Actinomycetota; Coriobacteriia; Coriobacteriales; Atopobiaceae. The record is from RNAcentral.